CGAGUCUCCUCGCGCCCUCUGGUGUACCAACGAAGUAUAACCAGAAAAAAAAAUCCACAAAGAUCGCGGCCAUUUCAUGUAACAAGAGAUGCCCAGAGAGAGGAGAAUGUCUGGAAUCUGGGAGGAAUCACUCACCACCAGAAUUGGGCACGGAUUUGAAAAACAAAACAGAACAAAACAAAAACCAACAGUGCCCGUGAUGCAGAGCUGAGGACUGAACCCAGGGCCUUGUACUUGCUAGGCAAGCGCUCUACCACUGAGCUAAAUCUAUCACUUUAUGGCAGGGAAUAUAGCCAAAAGAGAAUUAUAUAUUGCAUUACUGUCUCAGUCCAAGGCGCCAAAGCCCUUUGCCCACAUCCUUCCUCUUUUUCAAGCCCCUCCAAGAUUUGGG
Molecule: long non-coding RNA, 391 nt
Filed under: Cricetulus griseus (Chinese hamster)
Lineage: Eukaryota; Metazoa; Chordata; Mammalia; Rodentia; Cricetidae
Description: lncRNA (ENSCGRG00015037290.1)
Source: RNAcentral